GCCCAGGUGGCGGAAUUGGUAGACGCGCAGGACUUAAAAUCCUGUGAUCAUUGUGAUCGUGCCGGUUCGAAACCGGCCCCGGGUA
Molecule: transfer RNA, 85 nt
Filed under: Bacteroidetes bacterium 4572_128
Lineage: Bacteria; Pseudomonadati; Bacteroidota
Also listed under: 1 other name
Description: tRNA-Leu
Rfam family: tRNA
About the family: Transfer RNA (tRNA) molecules are approximately 80 nucleotides in length. Their secondary structure includes four short double-helical elements and three loops (D, anti-codon, and T loops).
Source: RNAcentral